UACGUAGACCUCGAACGUUAUCCGGAUUUACUGGGCGUAAAGCGUGCGUAGGUGUCUUUUCAAGUCUCUGGUGAAAUCUCCGGGCUCAACUCGGAAACUGUCAGAGAAACUGGGAAGAUAGAGUGUGGCAGAGGCUGAUGGAAUGGUUGGUGUAGCGGUAAAAUGCGUUGAUAUCAACCAGAACACCAGUGGCGAAGGCGAUCAGCUGGGCCAUUACUGACACUGAGGCACGAAAGCGUGGGUAGCGAACGGG
This 253-nucleotide ribosomal RNA is filed under the name uncultured bacterium. Its description in RNAcentral is "partial 16S ribosomal RNA". It matches the Rfam family "Bacterial small subunit ribosomal RNA", at positions 524 to 776 of the family's 1533-position model. The record is from RNAcentral.